RNAcentral lists this ribosomal RNA (253 nucleotides) under uncultured bacterium. RNAcentral's name for it is "partial 16S ribosomal RNA". It matches the Rfam family "Bacterial small subunit ribosomal RNA", at positions 524 to 776 of the family's 1533-position model. The record is from RNAcentral.
UACAGAGGGGGCAAGCGUUGUUCGGAAUUACUGGGCGUAAAGGGCGCGUAGGCGGCCUGUUAAGUCGGACGUGAAAUCCCUCGGCUCAACCGGGGAACUGCGUCCGAUACUGGCGGGCUUGAAUUCGGGAGAGGGAUGUGGAAUUCCAGGUGUAGCGGUGAAAUGCGUAGAUAUCUGGAGGAACACCGGUGGCGAAGGCGGCAUCCUGGACCGACAUUGACGCUGAGGCGCGAAAGCUAGGGGAGCGAACGGG